UUACGGCCAUGUCACGUUGAAACACCGAUUCCCGUACUGAAACCGAAGUUAAGCAACGUCGAACUUGGUCAGAACCUAGAUGGGUGACCGUUUGGGAAUACCAAGUGC
Acanthosepion pharaonis is the source of this 108-nucleotide non-coding RNA. The record is from the annotation of a GenBank genome assembly. Lineage: Eukaryota; Metazoa; Mollusca; Cephalopoda; Sepiida; Sepiidae.